This 497-nucleotide ribosomal RNA is filed under the name uncultured bacterium. RNAcentral's name for it is "partial 16S ribosomal RNA". It matches the Rfam family "Bacterial small subunit ribosomal RNA", at positions 28 to 507 of the family's 1533-position model. The record is from RNAcentral.
GAUGAACGCUGGCGGCGUGCUUAAUACAUGCAAGUCGAGCGAACAGACCCGGCGCUUGCUCCUUCGACGUUUGCCGCGCACGGGUGUGAAACACGUAUGAACCCUCCUUAUCAGUCUGGGAUAUUCUCGGGACACCGGAGCAAACCCCGUAUAAUAUUCCGAACCGCAUUGUUCGAUAGAGAAAUACGGCUUUGCUAUAACUAAUCGCUGGACCUGCGCCGUAUGAGCUAGUUGGUAAGGUAACGGCUUACCAAGGCAACGAUACGUAGCCGACCUGAGAGGGUGAUCGGCCACACUGGAACUGGGACACGGACCAUAGGCCUACGGGAGGCAGCAGUAGGGAACCUUCCGCAAUAGGCGAAAGCCUGACGGAGCAACGCCGCGUGAGUGAUGAAGGUCUUCGGAUCGUAAAACUCUGUUAUUAGGGAAGAACAAACGUGUAAGUAACUGUGCACGUCGUGACGGUACCUAAUCAGAAAGCCACGGCUAACUACGUG